RNAcentral lists this ribosomal RNA (421 nucleotides) under uncultured bacterium. RNAcentral describes it as "bacterial SSU rRNA". It matches the Rfam family "Bacterial small subunit ribosomal RNA", at positions 355 to 774 of the family's 1533-position model. The record is from RNAcentral.
UAAGGAAUAUUGGUCAAUGGACGCAAGUCUGAACCAGCCAUGCCGCGUGAAGGAUGAAGGUCCUCUGGAUUGUAAACUUCUUUUAUCUGGGACGAAAACGGGAUUUUUAUCUCAAUUGACGGUACCAGAGGAAUAAGCACCGGCUAACUCCGUGCCAGCAGCCGCGGUAAUACGGAGGGUGCGAGCGUUAUCCGGAUUUACUGGGUUUAAAGGGUGCGUAGGUGGGCUUAUAAGUCAGUGGUGAAAUCUCCGAGCUUAACUUGGAAACUGCCGUUGAUACUAUAGGUCUUGAAUUAUCUGGAGGUAAGCGGAAUAUGUCAUGUAUCGGUGAAAUGCUUAGAUAUGACAUAGAACACCAAUUGCGAAGGCAGCUUACUACAUAUAAAUUGACGCUGAGGCACGAAAGCGUGGGGAUCAAACA